CUCAACCCAGGAUUUUUUAACGUGCUGUCUAUUGUUUAUCGAUUACAUAACGAUUAUAUAUAGCGGUAUAUCAUUGAUAUUAGUUCUAAGUAUUGGUACGGAAUGAAAACUGAAUCCAUUGUGUCGCAAUGAAAAUUGUAUUAAUCUCUCGAAAGUAGGAAUAUUGUUGAUAUAUAUAUUUUACACUUCUACACGCGCUGACUUUAAGAGUAAAAUAAAAUACUAGUUUGAAGCCAGACUUAAGCUAAUAUGUCAGAGACUUAGGUAGAACUAAAUGUACUGCGGCAACUAUCACAUACAAACCCCAC
This 308-nucleotide long non-coding RNA is filed under the name Mytilus galloprovincialis (Mediterranean mussel). The record is from RNAcentral. Lineage: Eukaryota; Metazoa; Mollusca; Bivalvia; Mytilida; Mytilidae.